AGGAUAAUAAUUUAUAAAAAAAUAUUUAAAUUGCAUUUAAAUAAUAUAUAAUCUCUAAUUAUAUUUAUCUUA
RNAcentral lists this transfer RNA (72 nucleotides) under Aulacus sinensis. Its description in RNAcentral is "tRNA-Ala". The record is from RNAcentral. Lineage: Eukaryota; Metazoa; Arthropoda; Insecta; Hymenoptera; Aulacidae.